AAGGGAAACCGAGUCUUAACUGGGCGUUAAGUUGCAGGGUAUAGACCCGAAACCCGGUGAUCUAGCCAUGGGCAGGUUGAAGGUUGGGUAACACUAACUGGAGGACCGAACCGACUAAUGUUGAAAAAUUAGCGGAUGACUUGUGGCUGGGGGUGAAAGGCCAAUCAAACCGGGAGAUAGCUGGUUCUCCCCGAAAGCUAUUUAGGUAGCGCCUCGUGAACUCAUCUUCGGGGGUAGAGCACUGUUUCGGCUAGGGGGUCAUCCCGACUUACCAACCCGAUGCAAACUGCGAAUACCGAAGAAUGUUAUCACGGGAGACACACGGCGGGUGCUAACGUCCGUCGUGAAGAGGGAAACAACCCAGACCGCCAGCUAAGGUCCCAAAGUCACAGUUAAGUGGGAAACGAUGUGGGAAGGCUCAGACAGCCAGGAUGUUGGCUUAGAAGCAGCCAUCAUUUAAAGAAAGCGUAAUAGCUCACUGGUCGAGUCGGCCUGCGCGGAAGAUGUAACGGGGCUAAACUGUGCACCGAAGCUGCGGCAGCGACGCUUAUG
Molecule: ribosomal RNA, 552 nt
Filed under: Salmonella enterica subsp. enterica serovar Kentucky str. 29166
Lineage: Bacteria; Pseudomonadati; Pseudomonadota; Gammaproteobacteria; Enterobacterales; Enterobacteriaceae
Description: bacterial LSU rRNA
Rfam family: Bacterial large subunit ribosomal RNA
Source: RNAcentral